UAACCGGAUUAGAUACCCUGGUAGUCCACGCCGUAAACGAUGUCGACUUGGAGGUUGUGCCCUUGAGGCGUGGCUUCCGGAGCUAACGCGUUAAGUCGACCGCCUGGGGAGUACGGCCGCAAGAUUAAAACUCAAAUGAAUUGACGGGGGCCCGCACAAGCGGUGGAGCAUGUGGUUUAAUUCGAUGCAACGCGAAGAACCUUACCUGGUCUUGACAUCCACAGAACUUUCCAGAGAUGGAUUGGUGCCUUCGGGAACUGUGAGACAGGUGCUGCAUGGCUGUCGUCAGCUCGUGUUGUGAAAUGUUGGGUUAAGUCCCGCAACGAGCGCAACCCUUAUCCUUUGUUGCCAGCGGUCCGGCCGGGAACUCAAAGGAGACUGCCAGUGAUAAACUGGAGGAAGGUGGGGAUGACGUAA
RNAcentral lists this ribosomal RNA (417 nucleotides) under uncultured bacterium. Its description in RNAcentral is "bacterial SSU rRNA". It matches the Rfam family "Bacterial small subunit ribosomal RNA", at positions 770 to 1187 of the family's 1533-position model. The record is from RNAcentral.